Molecule: ribosomal RNA, 466 nt
Filed under: uncultured Allobrachymonas sp.
Lineage: Bacteria; Pseudomonadati; Pseudomonadota; Betaproteobacteria; Burkholderiales; Comamonadaceae
Description: bacterial SSU rRNA
Rfam family: Bacterial small subunit ribosomal RNA
Source: RNAcentral
UUGACGGGACCCGCACAGCGGUGGAUGAUGUGGUUUAAUUCGAUGCAACGCGAAAACCUUACCCACCUUUGACAUGGCAGGAAUCCUGAAGAGAUUUGGGAGUGCUCGAAAGAGAACCUGCACACAGGUGCUGCAUGGCUGUCGUCAGCUCGUGUCGUGAGAUGUUGGGUUAAGUCCCGCAACGAGCGCAACCCUUGCCAUUAGUUGCUACGAAAGGGCACUCUAAUGGGACUGCCGGUGACAAACCGGAGGAAAGGUGGGGAUGACGUCAAGUCCUCAUGGCCCUUAUAGGUGGGGCUACACACGUCAUACAAUGGCCGGUACAGAGGGUAGCCAACCCGCGAGGGGGAGCCAAUCCCACAAAGCCGGUCGUAGUCCGGAUCGCAGUCUGCAACUCGACUGCGUGAAGUCGGAAUCGCUAGUAAUCGCGGAUCAGCAUGUCGCGGUGAAUACGUUCCCGGGUCUU